Molecule: ribosomal RNA, 208 nt
Filed under: Salmonella enterica
Lineage: Bacteria; Pseudomonadati; Pseudomonadota; Gammaproteobacteria; Enterobacterales; Enterobacteriaceae
Also listed under: 1 other name
Description: partial 16S ribosomal RNA
Rfam family: Bacterial small subunit ribosomal RNA
Source: RNAcentral
AAAUUGAAGAGUUUGAUCAUGGCUCAGAUUGAACGCUGGCGGCAGGCCUAACACAUGCAAGUCGAACGGUAACAGGAAGCAGCUUGCUGCUUCGCUGACGAGUGGCGGACGGGUGAGUAAUGUCUGGGAAACUGCCUAUGGAGGGGGAUAACUACUGGAAACGGUGGCUAAUACCGCAUAACGUCGCAAGACCAAAGAGGGGGACCUU